GAUGAACGCUGGCGGCGUGCCUAAUACAUGCAAGUCGAGCGAACGAACGAGGAGCUUGCUCCUUUGACGUUAGCGGCGGACGGGUGAGUAACACGUGGGUAACCUACCUAUAAGACUGGGAUAACUUCGGGAAACCGGAGCUAAUACCGGAUAAUAUUUCGAACCGCAUGGUUCGAUAGUGAAAGAUGGAUCUGCUAUCACUUAUAGAUGGACCGGCGCCGUAUUAGCUAGUUGGUAAGGUAACGGCUUACCAAGGCAACGAUACGUAGCCGACCUGAGAGGGUGAUCGGCCACACUGGAACUGAGACACGGUCCAGACUCCUACGGGAGGCAGCAGUAGGGAAUCUUCCGCAAUGGGCGAAAGCCUGACGGAGCAACGCCGCGUGAGUGAUGAAGGUCUUCGGAUCGUAAAACUCUGUUAUUAGGGAAGAACAAACGUGUAAGUAACUGUGCACGUCUUGACGGUACCUAAUCAGAAAGCCACGGCUAACUACGUGCCAGCAGCCGCAGUAA
Molecule: ribosomal RNA, 513 nt
Filed under: uncultured bacterium
Lineage: Bacteria
Description: partial 16S ribosomal RNA
Rfam family: Bacterial small subunit ribosomal RNA
Source: RNAcentral